GAUGAACGCUAGCGGCAGGCUUAAUACAUGCAAGUCGUGGGGCAGCAUGAGUAGCAAUACUUGAUGGCGACCGGCAAACGGGUGAGGAACACGUACACAACCUUCCUUCAAGCGGGGAAUAGCCCAGAGAAAUUUGGAUUAAUACCCCAUAAUAUAUUUGAUAAGGCAUCUUAUUAAAUAUUAAAGCUUCGGCACUUGAUGAUGGGUGUGCGGCUGAUUAGAUAGUUGGCGGGUAACGGCCCACCAAGUCUACGAUCAGUAGCUGAUGUGAGAGCAUGAUCAGCCACACGGGCACUGAGACACGGGCCCGACUCCUACGGGGAGGCAGCAGUAAGGAAUAUUGGACAA
RNAcentral lists this ribosomal RNA (348 nucleotides) under uncultured bacterium. RNAcentral describes it as "bacterial SSU rRNA". It matches the Rfam family "Bacterial small subunit ribosomal RNA", at positions 28 to 371 of the family's 1533-position model. The record is from RNAcentral.